AACGUAGGACGCAAGCGUUAUCCGGAGUUACUGGGCGUAAAGGGUCUGUAGGUGGCCAAUUAAGUCAGACGUGAAAUCCCUCAGCUUAACUGGGGAACUGCGUCUGAGACUGGAUGGCUCGAGUGCAGGAGAGGAAUGCGGAAUUCCAGGUGUAGCGGUGAAAUGCGUAGAUAUCUGGAGGAACACCGGUGGCGAAGGCGGCAUUCUGGACUGCAACUGACACUGAAAGACGAAAGCCAGGGGAGCAAACGGG
Molecule: ribosomal RNA, 253 nt
Filed under: uncultured bacterium
Lineage: Bacteria
Description: partial 16S ribosomal RNA
Rfam family: Bacterial small subunit ribosomal RNA
Source: RNAcentral